This 2932-nucleotide ribosomal RNA is filed under the name Escherichia coli. RNAcentral describes it as "23S ribosomal RNA". It matches the Rfam family "Bacterial large subunit ribosomal RNA". Lineage: Bacteria; Pseudomonadati; Pseudomonadota; Gammaproteobacteria; Enterobacterales; Enterobacteriaceae. The record is from RNAcentral.
GGGUUGUGAGGUUAAGCGACUAAGCGUACACGGUGGAUGCCCUGGCAGUCAGAGGCGAUGAAGGACGUGCUAAUCUGCGAUAAGCGUCGGUAAGGUGAUAUGAACCGUUAUAACCGGCGAUUUCCGAAUGGGGAAACCCAGUGUGAUUCGUCACACUAUCAUUAACUGAAUCCAUAGGUUAAUGAGGCGAACCGGGGGAACUGAAACAUCUAAGUACCCCGAGGAAAAGAAAUCAACCGAGAUUCCCCCAGUAGCGGCGAGCGAACGGGGAGCAGCCCAGAGCCUGAAUCAGUGUGUGUGUUAGUGGAAGCGUCUGGAAAGGCGUGCGAUACAGGGUGACAGCCCCGUACACAAAAAUGCACAUGCUGUGAGCUCGAUGAGUAGGGCGGGACACGUGGUAUCCUGUCUGAAUAUGGGGGGACCAUCCUCCAAGGCUAAAUACUCCUGACUGACCGAUAGUGAACCAGUACCGUGAGGGAAAGGCGAAAAGAACCCCGGCGAGGGGAGUGAAAAAGAACCUGAAACCGUGUACGUACAAGCAGUGGGAGCACAGAGCAAUCUGUGUGACUGCGUACCUUUUGUAUAAUGGGUCAGCGACUUAUAUUCUGUAGCAAGGUUAACCGAAUAGGGGAGCCGAAGGGAAACCGAGUCUUAACUGGGCGUUAAGUUGCAGGGUAUAGACCCGAAACCCGGUGAUCUAGCCAUGGGCAGGUUGAAGGUUGGGUAACACUAACUGGAGGACCGAACCGACUAAUGUUGAAAAAUUAGCGGAUGACUUGUGGCUGGGGGUGAAAGGCCAAUCAAACCGGGAGAUAGCUGGUUCUCCCCGAAAGCUAUUUAGGUAGCGCCUCGUGAAUUCAUCUCCGGGGGUAGAGCACUGUUUCGGCAAGGGGGUCAUCCCGACUUACCAACCCGAUGCAAACUGCGAAUACCGGAGAAUGUUAUCACGGGAGACACACGGCGGGUGCUAACGUCCGUCGUGAAGAGGGAAACAACCCAGACCGCCAGCUAAGGUCCCAAAGUCAUGGUUAAGUGGGAAACGAUGUGGGAAGGCCCAGACAGCCAGGAUGUUGGCUUAGAAGCAGCCAUCAUUUAAAGAAAGCGUAAUAGCUCACUGGUCGAGUCGGCCUGCGCGGAAGAUGUAACGGGGCUAAACCAUGCACCGAAGCUGCGGCAGCGACGCUUAUGCGUUGUUGGGUAGGGGAGCGUUCUGUAAGCCUGCGAAGGUGUGCUGUGAGGCAUGCUGGAGGUAUCAGAAGUGCGAAUGCUGACAUAAGUAACGAUAAAGCGGGUGAAAAGCCCGCUCGCCGGAAGACCAAGGGUUCCUGUCCAACGUUAAUCGGGGCAGGGUGAGUCGACCCCUAAGGCGAGGCCGAAAGGCGUAGUCGAUGGGAAACAGGUUAAUAUUCCUGUACUUGGUGUUACUGCGAAGGGGGGACGGAGAAGGCUAUGUUGGCCGGGCGACGGUUGUCCCGGUUUAAGCGUGUAGGCUGGUUUUCCAGGCAAAUCCGGAAAAUCAAGGCUGAGGCGUGAUGACGAGGCACUACGGUGCUGAAGCAACAAAUGCCCUGCUUCCAGGAAAAGCCUCUAAGCAUCAGGUAACAUCAAAUCGUACCCCAAACCGACACAGGUGGUCAGGUAGAGAAUACCAAGGCGCUUGAGAGAACUCGGGUGAAGGAACUAGGCAAAAUGGUGCCGUAACUUCGGGAGAAGGCACGCUGAUAUGUAGGUGAAGUCCCUCGCGGAUGGAGCUGAAAUCAGUCGAAGAUACCAGCUGGCUGCAACUGUUUAUUAAAAACACAGCACUGUGCAAACACGAAAGUGGACGUAUACGGUGUGACGCCUGCCCGGUGCCGGAAGGUUAAUUGAUGGGGUUAGCGCAAGCGAAGCUCUUGAUCGAAGCCCCGGUAAACGGCGGCCGUAACUAUAACGGUCCUAAGGUAGCGAAAUUCCUUGUCGGGUAAGUUCCGACCUGCACGAAUGGCGUAAUGAUGGCCAGGCUGUCUCCACCCGAGACUCAGUGAAAUUGAACUCGCUGUGAAGAUGCAGUGUACCCGCGGCAAGACGGAAAGACCCCGUGAACCUUUACUAUAGCUUGACACUGAACAUUGAGCCUUGAUGUGUAGGAUAGGUGGGAGGCUUUGAAGUGUGGACGCCAGUCUGCAUGGAGCCGACCUUGAAAUACCACCCUUUAAUGUUUGAUGUUCUAACGUUGACCCGUAAUCCGGGUUGCGGACAGUGUCUGGUGGGUAGUUUGACUGGGGCGGUCUCCUCCUAAAGAGUAACGGAGGAGCACGAAGGUUGGCUAAUCCUGGUCGGACAUCAGGAGGUUAGUGCAAUGGCAUAAGCCAGCUUGACUGCGAGCGUGACGGCGCGAGCAGGUGCGAAAGCAGGUCAUAGUGAUCCGGUGGUUCUGAAUGGAAGGGCCAUCGCUCAACGGAUAAAAGGUACUCCGGGGAUAACAGGCUGAUACCGCCCAAGAGUUCAUAUCGACGGCGGUGUUUGGCACCUCGAUGUCGGCUCAUCACAUCCUGGGGCUGAAGUAGGUCCCAAGGGUAUGGCUGUUCGCCAUUUAAAGUGGUACGCGAGCUGGGUUUAGAACGUCGUGAGACAGUUCGGUCCCUAUCUGCCGUGGGCGCUGGAGAACUGAGGGGGGCUGCUCCUAGUACGAGAGGACCGGAGUGGACGCAUCACUGGUGUUCGGGUUGUCAUGCCAAUGGCACUGCCCGGUAGCUAAAUGCGGAAGAGAUAAGUGCUGAAAGCAUCUAAGCACGAAACUUGCCCCGAGAUGAGUUCUCCCUGACUCCUUGAGAGUCCUGAAGGAACGUUGAAGACGACGACGUUGAUAGGCCGGGUGUGUAAGCGCAGCGAUGCGUUGAGCUAACCGGUACUAAUGAACCGUGAGGCUUAACCUUACAACGCCGAAGCUGUU